Molecule: ribosomal RNA, 225 nt
Filed under: Triticum aestivum (bread wheat)
Lineage: Eukaryota; Viridiplantae; Streptophyta; Magnoliopsida; Poales; Poaceae
Description: partial small subunit ribosomal RNA
Source: RNAcentral
AUGGUAAAACAUCCGUUGGAGAAGGGGGAUGCUUUGCGUGAGAAUACAAGGUCACGCCGAUGUGAGUGUCCUGCGAUAAUAAGGCUGCUACGGACAUUAGAUAAUGGGGGGUACAUAACGGAGCACCGGGUAGAGCAUAACAAUGUUAUGACGCCGGGAGAGAUGUUGCACUGGCCAUCGCACAAACACAUUGAUGUGUACAUGGGGGGCUUGGUGCGGGACUGA